CGCCGCGGGACACGGCGCGUCCUGUGCCCGCUCCUCUCCCCGCUCCUCUCCCCGCUCCUGCGCCCGGCCGGGAAAAGCCGCCCCCGACGCGUCCGAGCGCAAGGUACACUGGUAAAUAUCUUGAGCAGCCCUGCCUGCAUCAAAGAUUUGUUUGGCUGUGCUCAGCUGUGGACUGAAAGGAGACAGCACAUCGGUUCCCAGUAAAGGUGUGUGUCCUCCAGGAUGUGCUCUGAGGAGUUCAGCAAAAGAGAGGAGGGAGCUUAGCCUGACCAGGGACAUCGUACUCGUGCUGCUGCCUUCUGAUUCCAUAACUCCUUUGUGUGGAUGUCUUUUCCCAGCAGAGUGGAUCAGCUUCUGCCAUUGAGAUUCCUAUUCCACAUCACUGUGUUUACAGUCAACAGUGAGGAAAGGGAUACUUCAAAUUCCCAAAGGUCACAAAAUACUGGGAAAUCAACUCUGGAUCAUGUCUCUCUUAGAGUUAAUCUUCACUCAAGAUGA
Molecule: long non-coding RNA, 498 nt
Filed under: Lepidothrix coronata (blue-crowned manakin)
Lineage: Eukaryota; Metazoa; Chordata; Aves; Passeriformes; Pipridae
Description: lncRNA (ENSLCOG00000014844.1)
Source: RNAcentral